This 306-nucleotide ribosomal RNA is filed under the name uncultured Peredibacter sp. RNAcentral describes it as "bacterial SSU rRNA". It matches the Rfam family "Bacterial small subunit ribosomal RNA", at positions 1033 to 1340 of the family's 1533-position model. The record is from RNAcentral. Lineage: Bacteria; Pseudomonadati; Bdellovibrionota; Bacteriovoracia; Bacteriovoracales; Bacteriovoracaceae.
GAGAGGUGCUGCAUGGCUGUCGUCAGCUCGUGUUGUGAAAUGUUGGGUUAAGUCUCGCAACGAGCGCAACCCCUAUCGUCUGUUGCCAGCAUUAAGUUGGGCACUCUGACGAGACUGCCUGGGUUAAUCAGGAGGAAGGUGGGGAAGACGUCAAGUCCUCAUGGCCCUUAUGUCUAGGGCUACACACGUAAUACAAUGGCGCGUACAAAGGGAAGCGAACUCGCAAGGGGGAGCAAAUCUCAAAAAGCGCGUCUCUGUCCGGAUUGGAGUCUGCAACUCGACUCCAUGAAGUUGGAAUCGCUAGUA